ACGAACGCUGGCGGCGUGCCUAAUACAUGCAAGUCGAGCGAAGUUUUUCUGGUGCUUGCACUAGAAAAACUUAGCGGCGAACGGGUGAGUAACACGUAAAGAACCUGCCUCAUAGACUGGGACAACUAUUGGAAACGAUAGCUAAUACCGGAUAACAGUAUUUCUCGCAUGAGAGAUAUUUAAAAGUUGGUUAUGCUAACACUAUGAGAUGGCUUUGCGGUGCAUUAGCUAGUUGGUGGGGUAAAGGCCCACCAAGGCGACGAUGCAUAGCCGACCUGAGAGGGUGAUCGGCCACACUGGGACUGAGACACGGCCCAGACUCCUACGGGAGGCAGCAGUAGGGAAUCUUCCGCAAUGGGCGAAAGCCUGACGGAGCAACGCCGCGUGAGUGAAGAAGGAUUUCGGUUCGUAAAGCUCUGUUGUUAGGGAAGAAUGGAUAUGUAGUAACUAUACAUGUAAGAGACGGUACCUAACCAGAAAGCCACGGCUAACUACGU
Molecule: ribosomal RNA, 497 nt
Filed under: uncultured bacterium
Lineage: Bacteria
Description: partial 16S ribosomal RNA
Rfam family: Bacterial small subunit ribosomal RNA
Source: RNAcentral